RNAcentral lists this small nuclear RNA (104 nucleotides) under Vulpes vulpes (red fox). The record is from RNAcentral. Lineage: Eukaryota; Metazoa; Chordata; Mammalia; Carnivora; Canidae.
GUGCCUGGUUCAGCAGCACAUAUACUAAAACCGAAAUGAUACAGAGAUUAGCACGGCCCCAUGCAAGGAUGACAUGCAAAUCCAAGUACAUAUUUCACUUGUAU